Molecule: non-coding RNA, 823 nt
Filed under: Gossypium hirsutum (cotton)
Lineage: Eukaryota; Viridiplantae; Streptophyta; Magnoliopsida; Malvales; Malvaceae
Description: Bacterial small subunit ribosomal RNA
Rfam family: Bacterial small subunit ribosomal RNA
Source: Rfam by way of RNAcentral
AAGUUUGAUCUUGGCUCAGGAUGAACACUGGCGGCAUACUUAACACAUGCAAGUCAGACGAGAAGUGGUGUUUCCAGUGGCGGACGAGUGAGUAACGCGUAAGAACCUACCCUUGGGAGGGGAACAACAGUUGGAAACAGCUGCUAAUACCUCGUAGGCUGAGGAGCAAAAGGAGGAAUCCGCCUGAGGAGGGGCUCGCGUUUGAUUAGCUAGUUGGUGAGGCAAUAGCUUACCAAGGUGAUGAUCAGUAGCUGAUCCAAGAGGAUGAUCAGCCACACUGGGACUGAGACACAGCCCAGACUCCUACGGGAGGCAGCAGUGGGGAAUUUUCCGCAAUGGGCGAAAGCCUGACGGAGUAAUGCCGCGUGGAAGUAGAAGGCCCACGAGUCAUGAACUUCUUUUCCUGGAGAAGAAGCAAUGAUGGUAUCUGGGGAAUAAGCAUCGGUUAACUCUGUGCCAAUAGCCGCGGUAAUAUAGAGGAUGCAAGCGUUAUCUAGAAUGAUUGGGCGUAAAGCGUCUAUAGGUGGCUUUUUAAGUCCGCCGUCAAAUCCCAAGGCUCAACCCUGGACAAGCGGUGGAAACUACCAAACUGGAGUACGGUAGGGGCAGAAGGAAUUUCUGGAAGAGUGGUGAAAUGCGUAGAGAUCAAAAAGAACACCAACGACGAAACCACUCUGCUGGGCCGACACUGACACUAAGAGACGAAAGCUGGGGGAGUAAAUGGGAUUAGAUACCCCAGUAGUCCUAGCCGUAAACGAUGGAUACUAGACGCUGUGCGUAUCAACCCAUGCAGUGCUGUAGCUAACGCGUUAAGUAUCCUACC